CUUUGAACCCUAACCGAUAAACAAAAGGCCAGAACUAGGUUAAAAAGUUGACACACAGGAUUUGGCAGCUGGGACUCACUGAGAACCUGGGGUUCCUCUUCCUCAUCCAGUCCCCACUUCAUUUCCUCCCCCCUUUCUUCUACAUGCAUUGUCAGAUGUAGCUCAAGCUGGCCUCAAACUCGUGAUCGACCUGCUCCACUUCCUCAGUCAAAGCGCAGGAGCCUUAGGUGGGCCGCACCACUGUCUUCUCAGUUCUUGCAGCUGCUGAGAGGUAAAUGUGACCAUCCAACGAGUGUUGACUCUGUGCCUUUCCAGAAGCAGGAAGCCUUCAAGGCUGCAUCUUCCAGUGGCACAGCGGAAGGAAACACCUCUCCAGGCAGCCUGUCCCAACACUUGCCGGGCUCGUCUUUCUUUCCUGCCUCCAAAGGAUACUCUUUGUUGCCUGGUAUCCAGGAUCUUUGAAACAUUUUUUAUUUUUUUUAUUUUUGCCAGUUUGUAAAAAUUAUUUCAGAGGGGAAGGUUAAUGAGGUGGCUGAUGGUCAACCCACAUUUUGCAGAAGUGGAAAACAGAACAUCAAGAGUUCAUUUCAUCUUUAUGUAAAUUCUGUGUAGGAAAGUUAAAGAAAUGAAAGCCAAGCAUGGUGGCUCAGGCCUUUAAUCCAUACCCACUCCAAGGUUACACCCACUCCAACAGAGUCACACCUCAACAGUCCCACUCCCUGUGAGAUUCUGUGGGCAAUUACACUAAAACUGCCACAGAUGCUCUUUACUUUUUUCACUUCUAAUUCCCUCAGUAUGUAUGUAUGUGUCUUGUUACUUUUCUGUUGCUGUGAAGAAAGUGUGAAGGCAACUUAAAGAAGAAAAAGGGGUUUACAGUUAACACAGAGAGAGAGAUGACUAGGAAUGGUGUGGCCUUUUGAAGCCUCAAAGCCCAUCCCCAGUGACACAGCUCCUCCAACAAGGCCACACCCCAAAAUCCUUCCCAAACAGUUCUAUCAACUGGGGACCAAGUAUUCAAAUAUAUGAGCCUAUAUGUUGGACCAAAAAAAGGCUCCAAUUCGAGGUCCAUGUAACCUCCUGAGCCUGACUUGAGUUUAAGGCUCCAAUGUGAGGCCCAGUGUAACCGCCUGAGGCGGGCUUGAGUUUGGCGACCUGUCUCUGGCCUGUAAUCUCCAUGUGGGGAUGACUCAGCAAGACUGCCCCCCUGCCUAGCUAUCGGCUAGCUUGGUGGAAUAUUAUUGUUCUUUACUCCCCACAUCACCUUACCCUAUCCUGAUUUCCAUCCCCUACCUUAGCCCUAUAUAAGUUCAUUCUUAUUGGAAUAAAUCGAGA
Molecule: long non-coding RNA, 1332 nt
Filed under: Cricetulus griseus (Chinese hamster)
Lineage: Eukaryota; Metazoa; Chordata; Mammalia; Rodentia; Cricetidae
Description: lncRNA (ENSCGRG00015042551.1)
Source: RNAcentral